UUUUAAUAAUAAAAUUUAGUUAAUUUUUUAUAAAAAUUUUAUUUAUAUUUUUUAUUAUUAAAAUUUUUAAUUUUAUUUUUUAAUUUUUAAUUUAAUCUUUCAUGCCCAGAAUAUUUUCUAAAAAAAUUUAAUUUUAUUAGUGAACUUCGGAGGAAAAGAAGGUAUUUGAAGAAAUUUUUUAAAAUUAAUAUGAAUAGUUUGGUCAUCCAGGAGUAAAUAAAAUAAUUUUGAAGUUUUAAAGAUUAUAUUAGGUAUUGUCUUAUUUUAAUAUUUUGUUAAUAAUUAAAUUAAUUCAAUAAAAAUAAUUUAUAUGUGUGGCAUAAAAUUUUGUAAGAAAAUAUUUGUAAUUAAUUAAUUAAUAAUAAUAUGUGUG
This 373-nucleotide long non-coding RNA is filed under the name Ananas comosus (pineapple). RNAcentral's name for it is "long non-coding RNA (ACOM_LNC013162)". Lineage: Eukaryota; Viridiplantae; Streptophyta; Magnoliopsida; Poales; Bromeliaceae. The record is from RNAcentral.